GGAUCGUGAACGAGUUGGAACAAGCAGCAGGCAAAAACAUAAAUUCACUCACACAGCUGGGUCGAAAAGUUUUGCUUGUGUAGCUGAGGCCGAGGAACUGUCGUCUGGUCAAAAAGUUGGACGCCUUUAGCUUUUUGACAUUACACAUAAGAAGAAAGAUGGAUCUCCUAUGACUUCUGAAGCUGCAGAAAUUAUGGAGAAACUAAAGGAUAAAAAGGCGGAGUAUGAAGCGAUUACUUCGAGUGAUAGUUUUGUUCAUCUUGACGACAUUGAUAACUAGAUUAUUACUGAAGUUUUGGGUCCUGAAAGGUAUGGUGGGGUUCGAUUUCAAGGAUCUUUUGUUAACCCAACCCAAUAUUUUGGAUCCAGCUCACAACAAUACAUGCCUUCGGGGAGUCAGGCUCAAGAUGAAGUUCAGAAGUUAAGAGACCAGA
Molecule: long non-coding RNA, 434 nt
Organism: Gossypium raimondii (Peruvian cotton)
Lineage: Eukaryota; Viridiplantae; Streptophyta; Magnoliopsida; Malvales; Malvaceae
Exons: 3
Source: RefSeq, a predicted model, not a curated record